UGACACAGGGAGGUAGUGACAAGAAAUAACAAUACGGGGCCUCAACGCCUUGUAAUUGGAAUGAUGGGAACCUAAACCCCUUCCAGAGUAUCAAUUGGAGGGCAAGUCUGGUGCCAGCAGCCGCGGUAAUUCCAGCUCCAAUAGCGUAUAUUAAAAUUGUUGUCAGUUAAAAAGCUCGUAGUUGAAUUUCUGCCGCAUCGCGGCGGCCCUCCCGGGCCCCAGGCGUUGCGGCAUAUUUCGGACUCGCUUUCGUCUCCGAAUGUUAAUCAAC
Molecule: ribosomal RNA, 271 nt
Filed under: Theileria mutans
Lineage: Eukaryota; Apicomplexa; Aconoidasida; Piroplasmida; Theileriidae
Description: partial small subunit ribosomal RNA
Rfam family: Eukaryotic small subunit ribosomal RNA
Source: RNAcentral